UACUUGGCAAGUUUGGGGAUUGAUUUGGACAACAGUACUGUGCCCUCCUAUCCAUGGGUGUCUGAGCCCCAUGGUGCAGUGGCAUGGGGCAGCUGUUGAGCAUGUGUGGUCCCAAGGCUGCCGGACACU
Molecule: small RNA, 129 nt
Filed under: Canis lupus familiaris (dog)
Lineage: Eukaryota; Metazoa; Chordata; Mammalia; Carnivora; Canidae
Description: microRNA mir-8821 (ENSCAFG00845021806.1)
Source: RNAcentral